AACGAACGCUGGCGGCAGGCUUAACACAUGCAAGUCGAGCGCCCCGCAAGGGAGCGGCAGACGGGUGAGUAACGCGUGGGAACAUACCCUUUGGUUCGGAAUAACUCAGGGAAACUUGAGCUAAUACCGGAUACGUCCGUAAGGAGAAAGAUUUAUCGCCAAAGGAUUGGCCCGCGUCCGAUUAGCUAGUUGGUGAGGUAACGGCUCACCAAGGCUACGAUCGGUAGCUGGUCUGAGAGGAUGAUCAGCCACAUUGGGACUGAGACACGGCCCAAACUCCUACGGGAGGCAGCAGUGGGGAAUAUUGGACAAUGGGCGCAAGCCUGAUCCAGCCAUGCCGCGUGAG
RNAcentral lists this ribosomal RNA (346 nucleotides) under uncultured bacterium. RNAcentral's name for it is "bacterial SSU rRNA". It matches the Rfam family "Bacterial small subunit ribosomal RNA", at positions 29 to 405 of the family's 1533-position model. The record is from RNAcentral.